GGCGGGCGGCCUCCGUGUGCCAAAAAUAGGCCACGGGCACAGCCGCGCCCAAAAAUCAGCCCCCGAAGGUCGGGGUCACAAGACCCCCCAGCGGAAAAAUGGCCAAGAAACGCGUGGGCUAUAGCCUUGGUGGGGGGCGUGGGCGAAGUUCGUCCGCGGGACUCGGAAUGGCCCCAGACUUGGCGGGCGGCCUCCGUGUGCCAAAAAUAGGCCACGGGCACAGCCGCGCCCAAAAAUCAGCCCCCGAAGGUCGGGGUCACAAGACCCCCCAGCGGAAAAAAGGCCAAGAAACGCGUGGGCUAUAGCCUUGGUGGGGGGCGUGGGCGAAGUUCGUCCGCGGGACUCGGAAUGGCACCAUACUUGGCGGGCGGCCUCCGUGUGCCAAAAAUAGGCCACGGGCACAGCCGCGCCCAAAAAUCAGCCCCCGAAGGUCGGGGUCCCAAGACCCCCCAGCGGAAAAAUGGCCAAAAAACGGGUGGGCUAUAGCCUUGGUGGGGGGCGUGGGCGUCCGCGGGACUCGGAAUGGCACCAUACUUGGCGGGCGGCCUCCGUGUGCCAAAAAUAGGCCACGGGCACAGCCGCGCCCAAAAAUCAGCCCCCGAAGGUCGGGGUCCCAAGACCCCCCAGCGGAAAAAUGGCCAAGAAACGCGUGGGCUAUAGCCUUGGUGGGGGGCGUGGGCGAAGUUCGUCCGCGGGACUCGGAAUGGCCCCAGACUUGGCGGGCGGCCUCCGUGUGCCAAAAAUAGGCCACGGGCACAGCCGCGCCCAAAAAUCAGCCCCCGAAGGUCGGGGUCACAAGACCCCCCAGCGGAAAAAAGGCCAAGAAACGCGUGGGCUAUAGCCUUGGUGGGGGGCGUGGGUGAAGUUCGUCCGCGGGACUCGGAAUGGCACCAUACUUGGCGGGCGGCCUCCGUGUGCCAAAAAUAGGCCACGGGCACAGCCGCGCCCAAAAAUCAGCCCCCGAAGGUCGGGGUCCCAAGACCCCCCAGCGGAAAAAUGGCCAAAAAACGGGUGGGCUAUAGCCUUGGUGGGGGGCGUGGGCGAAGUUCGUCCGCGGGACUCGGAAUGGCCCCAGACUUGGCGGGCGGCCUCCGUGUGCCAAAAAUAGGCCACGGGCACAGCCGCGGCCAAAAAUCAGCCCCCGAAGGUCGGGGUCCCAAGACCCCCCAGCGGAAAAAUGGCCAAGAAACGCGUGGGCUAUAGCCUUGGUGGGGGGCGUGGGCGAAGUUCGUCCGCGGGACUCGGAAUGGCCCCAGACUUGGCGGGCGGCCUCCGUGUGCCAAAAAUAGGCCACGGGCACAGCCGCGCCCAAAAAUCAGCCCCCGAAGGUCGGGGUCCCAAGACCCCCCAGCGGAAAAAUGGCCAAGAAACGGGUGGGCUAUAGCCUUGGUGGGGGGCGUGGGCGAAGUUCGUCCGCGGGACUCGGAAUGGCCCCAGACUUGGCGGGCGGCCUCCGUGUGCCAAAAAUAGGCCACGGGCACAGCCGCGCCCAAAAAUCAGCCCCCGAAGGUCGGGGUCACAAGACCCCCCAGCGGAAAAAAGGCUAAGAAACGCGUGGGCUAUAGCCUUGGUGGGGGGCGUGGGCGAAGUUCGUCCGCGGGACUCGGAAUGGCACCAUACUUGGCGGGCGGCCUCCGUGUGCCAAAAAUAGGCCACGGGCACAGCCGCGCCCAAAAAUCAGCCCCCGAAGGUCGGGGUCCCAAGACCCCCCAGCGGAAAAAUGGCCAAAAAACGGGUGGGCUAUAGCCUUGGUGGGGGGCGUGGGCGAAGUUCGUCCGCGUGACUCGGAAUGGCCCCAGACUUGGCGGGCGGCCUCCGUGUGCCAAAAAUAGGCCACGGGCACAGCCGCGCCCAAAAAUCAGCCCCCGAAGGUCGGGGUCCCAAGACCCCCCAGCGGAAAAAUGGCCAAGAAACGCGUGGGCUAUAGCCUUGGUGGGGGGCGUGGGCGAAGUUCGUCCGCGGGACUCGGAAUGGCCCCAGACUUGGCGGGCGGCCUCCGUGUGCCAAAAAUAGGCCACGGGCACAGCCGCGCCCAAAAAUCAGCCCCCGAAGGUCGGGGUCACAAGACCCCCCAGCGGAAAAAAGGCCAAGAAACGCGUGGGCUAUAGCCUUGGUGGGGGGCGUGGGUGAAGUUCGUCCGCGGGACUCGGAAUGGCACCAUACUUGGCGGGCGGCCUCCGUGUGCCAAAAAUAGGCCACGGGCACAGCCGCGCCCAAAAAUCAGCCCCCGAAGGUCGGGGUCCCAAGCCCCCCCAGCGGAAAAAUGGCCAAGAAACGCGUGGGCUAUAGCCUUGGUGGGGGGCGUGGGCGAAGUUCGUCCGCGGGACUCGGAAUGGCCCCAGACUUGGCGGGCGGCCUCCGUGUGCCAAAAAUAGGCCACGGGCACAGCCGGGCCCAAAAAUCAGCCCCCGAAGGUCGGGGUCACAAGGACCCCCCAGCGGAAAAAAGGCCAAGAAACGGGUGGGCUAUAGCCUUGGUGGGGGGCGUGGGCGAAGUUCGUCCGCGGGACUCGGAAUGGCACCAUACUUGGCGGGCGGCCUCCGUGUGCCAAAAAUAGGCCACGGGCACAGCCGCGCCCAAAAAUCAGCCCCCGAAGUUCGGGGUCCCAAGACCCCCCAGCGGAAAAAUGGCCAAAAAACGGGUGGGCUAUAGCCUUGGUGGGGGGCGUGGGCGAAGUUCGUCCGCGGGACUCGAAAUGGCCCCAGACUUGGCGGGCGGCCUCCGUGUGCCAAAAAUAGGCCACGGGCACAGCCGCGCCCAAAAAUCAGCCCCCGAAGGUCGGGGUCCCAAGACCCCCCAGCGGAAAAAUGGCCAAGAAACGCGUGGGCUAUAGCCUUGGUGGGGGGCGUGGGCGAAGUUCGUCCGCGGGACUCGGAAUAGCCCCAGACUUGGCGGGCGGCCUCCGUGUGCCAAAAAUUGGCCACGGGCACAGCCGCGCCCAAAAAUCAGCCCCCGAAGGUCGGGGUCCCAAGACCCCCCAGCGGAAAAAUGGCCAAGAAACGGGUGGGCUAUAGCCUUGGUGGGGGGCGUGGGCGAAGUUCGUCCGCGGGACUCGGAAUGGCCCCAGACUUGGCGGGCGGCCUCCGUGUGCCAAAAAUAGGCCACGGGCACAGCCGCACCCAAAAAUCAGCCCCCGAAG
RNAcentral lists this long non-coding RNA (3139 nucleotides) under Citrus x clementina. RNAcentral's name for it is "Citrus clementina (C. clementina) long non-coding RNA (CCLE_LNC000672)". Lineage: Eukaryota; Viridiplantae; Streptophyta; Magnoliopsida; Sapindales; Rutaceae. The record is from RNAcentral.